Molecule: ribosomal RNA, 253 nt
Filed under: uncultured bacterium
Lineage: Bacteria
Description: partial 16S ribosomal RNA
Rfam family: Bacterial small subunit ribosomal RNA
Source: RNAcentral
UACGAAGGGGGCUAGCGUUGUUCGGAAUUACUGGGCGUAAAGCGCACGUAGGCGGGUUGUUAAGUCAGGGGUGAAAUCCUGGAGCUCAACUCCAGAACUGCCUUUGAUACUGGCAACCUAGAGACUGGAAGAGGUUAGUGGAAUUCCCAGUGUAGAGGUGAAAUUCGUAGAUAUUGGGAGGAACACCGGUGGCGAAGGCGGGUCUCUGGGCAGUAACUGACGCUGAGGAGCGAAAGCGUGGGGAGCGAACAGG